CCUACGGGCGGCAGCAGUGGGGAAUAUUGCACAAUGGGGGAAACCCUGAUGCAGCGACGCCGCGUGAGUGAAGAAGUAUCUCGGUACGUAAAGCUCUAUCAGCAGGGAAGAAAAUGACGGUACCUGACUCAGAAGCCCCGGCUAACUACGUGCCAGCAGCCGCGGUAAUACGUAGGGGGCGAGCGGUAUCCGGAUUUACUGGGUGUAAAGGGAGCGUAGACGGGAGCACAAGUCUGGAGUGAAAUCCCGGGGCUUAACCCCGGAACUGCUUUUGAUACUGGGCGGCUGGAGUGCAGGAGGGGUAGGCGGAAUUCGUAGUGUAGCGGUGAAAUGCGUAGAUAUUAGGAAGAACACCGAUGGCGAAGGCAGCUUACUGGACUGUAACUGACGUUGAGGCUCGAAAGCGUGGGGAGCAAACAGGAUUAGAUACCCGUGUAGUC
This 440-nucleotide ribosomal RNA is filed under the name uncultured bacterium. RNAcentral's name for it is "partial 16S ribosomal RNA". It matches the Rfam family "Bacterial small subunit ribosomal RNA", at positions 338 to 795 of the family's 1533-position model. The record is from RNAcentral.